RNAcentral lists this transfer RNA (74 nucleotides) under Coconut lethal yellowing phytoplasma. RNAcentral describes it as "tRNA-Ile". It matches the Rfam family "tRNA". From Rfam's summary of the family: Transfer RNA (tRNA) molecules are approximately 80 nucleotides in length. Their secondary structure includes four short double-helical elements and three loops (D, anti-codon, and T loops). The record is from RNAcentral. Lineage: Bacteria; Bacillati; Mycoplasmatota; Mollicutes; Acholeplasmatales; Acholeplasmataceae.
GGGCCUAUAGCUCAGUUGGUUAGAGCACACGCCUGAUAAGCGNGAGGUCGNUGGUUCAAGUCCAUUUAGGCCCA